This 459-nucleotide ribosomal RNA is filed under the name uncultured bacterium. RNAcentral describes it as "partial 16S ribosomal RNA". It matches the Rfam family "Bacterial small subunit ribosomal RNA", at positions 338 to 795 of the family's 1533-position model. The record is from RNAcentral.
CCUACGGGAGGCAGCAGUGAGGAAUAUUGGUCAAUGGGAGAGAUCCUGAACCAGCCAAGCCGCGUGAGGGAAGACGGCCCUAUGGGUUGUAAACCUCUUUUGUCGGAGAACAAAACCCGGGACGUGUCCCGGACUGCGUGUAUCCGAAGAAAAAGCAUCGGCUAACUCCGGGCCAGCAGCCGCGGUAAUACGGAGGAUGCGAGCGUUAUCCGGAUUUAUUGGGUUUAAAGGGUGCGUAGGCGGUCCGUUAAGUCAGCGGGAAAAUUGCGGGGCUCAACCCCGUCGAUCCGUUGAGACUGGCAGACUUGAGUUGGCGAGAAGUACGCGGAAUGCGCGGUGUAGCGGUGAAAUGCAUAGAUAUCGCGCAGAACUCCGAUUGCGAAGGCAGCGUACCGGCGCCAGACUGACGCUGAGGCACGAAAGCGUGGGGAUCGAACAGGAUUAGAUACCCUGGUAGUC